This 490-nucleotide ribosomal RNA is filed under the name uncultured bacterium. RNAcentral describes it as "bacterial SSU rRNA". It matches the Rfam family "Bacterial small subunit ribosomal RNA", at positions 501 to 989 of the family's 1533-position model. The record is from RNAcentral.
CUACGUGCCAGCAGCCGCGGUAAUACGUAGGUGGCAAGCGUUGUCCGGAUUUAUUGGGCGUAAAGCGAGCGCAGGCGGUUCCUUAAGUCUGAUGUGAAAGCCCCCGGCUCAACCGGGGAGGGUCAUUGGAAACUGGGGAACUUGAGUGCAGAAGAGGAGAGUGGAAUUCCAUGUGUAGCGGUGAAAUGCGUAGAUAUAUGGAGGAACACCAGUGGCGAAGGCGACUCUCUGGUCUGUAACUGACGCUGAGGCUCGAAAGCGUGGGUAGCAAACAGGAUUAGAUACCCUGGUAGUCCACGCCGUAAACGAUGAGUGCUAAGUGUUGGAGGGUUUCCGCCCUUCAGUGCUGCAGUUAACGCAUUAAGCACUCCGCCUGGGGAGUACGACCGCAAGGUUGAAACUCAAAGGAAUUGACGGGGACCCGCACAAGCGGUGGAGCAUGUGGUUUAAUUCGACGCAACGCGAAGAACCUUACCAAAUCUUGACAUAC